Molecule: long non-coding RNA, 1020 nt
Organism: Wasmannia auropunctata (little fire ant)
Lineage: Eukaryota; Metazoa; Arthropoda; Insecta; Hymenoptera; Formicidae
Exons: 2
Source: RefSeq, a predicted model, not a curated record
GUCGGAUCAAUAGUUUGAGAGAGAUAAUCGUUUCGAUGAGUGCAAUCCUGAAUGUCGUGAGUACGGCAAAUCUACUUGGCAUGCCAAUUGCCGUAUUUUUAUUCUCGUGAAUAAACAUAAAACGCACUUGUAUACGUGUACGUCUUUGGAACAUGAGUUCAUCAAAAUUAUACCGGUUGCAACACCUGGCCUAAGAUUGCUUGCUCCAAGGUCUUCAACUGACUAACUGCUCAUUGUGCCCGUUUCAUAUUCAACAUUAUUAUGUGACUAACAUGCGCCAUCGCGACUUUCACGCAUGAAAUAGUCACGGAGCCAGGCGACGCGGCGCGAUGGUUGCGCAAGCAGAUACAAUCUAGCACGUGACAUUCCGAAUUCGUCGGAGCCACCAAAGCACGUGAAGGGGACGCGGGAGUGAGAGGGUCGAACGAGGUCGAGUGACCCGCGCGUGCAAGAAGAAUGGUGCAUUCGAUUCGAAUGCAGCCCGAAAUCGCGAGCGACGGGAAGCGCCGCGUAUAAGUUCGGGCUGGUAUAUUCGUUGCAAAGCGUCGUUGCAGCGUUGACUGUUGCAAAACAGGAAAACAAGUUACGCGUCUGACGCUAAUGUGAUUUGCGGAACGCGGUAGGUAUAACGUGGAGAAGUGAAAGGGGGCCAGAGAAGACCGAGGGAAUCAGAUGGCAGGACGAAGAAACAAGACAGCGAGUUCGCGCCAUUGUAUCGUCCCGUUUAAAGCCGAGGAGAAACAUCGCGGUGGAAAAAAAAGAGACCCGCGCCUAGGUGGCCACUUAACGCAACGCCCGAAUUUUCCACACGACUACUCCAACAGAGACGCCGCAUUGUUUCCGGAGGAGACGCAGGGGACAUGGGGAGAAUGGCGAAGAAAAGACAGAAGACCGCGACGUGCGCAUCCAUAAGCGCGAGAUAUUAAAAAUCACCGGUUUUGCUCUUGAUUACUGGUAAUUCAUAUUAUAGAAAGUAUAGCUAAAAAUACUAAAAUUUAAUAAAAAUGACAACAUGCUUAA